Molecule: ribosomal RNA, 402 nt
Filed under: bacterium
Lineage: Bacteria
Description: partial 16S ribosomal RNA
Rfam family: Bacterial small subunit ribosomal RNA
Source: RNAcentral
UGGGGAAUUUUGCACAAUGGGGGAAACCCUGAUGCAGCGACGCCGCGUGAUUUAGAAGGCCUUCGGGUUGUAAAAAUCUUUUCUAUGGGAAGAAAAUGACAGUACCAUAGGAAUAAGGACCGGCUAAUUACGUGCCAGCAGCCGCGGUAAUACGUAAGGUCCGAGCGUUGUCCGGAAUCAUUGGGCGUAAAGGGUACGUAGGCGGGUAAGCAAGUUAGAAGUGAAAUCCUAUAGCUCAACUAUAGUAAGCUUUUAAAACUGCUCAUCUUGAGGUAUGGAAGGGAAAGUGGAAUUCCUAGUGUAGCGGUGAAAUGCGCAGAUAUUAGGAGGAAUACCGGUGGCGAAGGCGACUUUCUGGCCAUAACCUGACGCUGAGGUACGAAAGCGUGGGUAGCAAACUGG